This 378-nucleotide ribosomal RNA is filed under the name uncultured eukaryote. Its description in RNAcentral is "partial 18S ribosomal RNA". It matches the Rfam family "Eukaryotic small subunit ribosomal RNA", at positions 592 to 976 of the family's 1831-position model. The record is from RNAcentral.
CAAUAGCGUAUAUUAAAGUUGUUGCAGUUAAAAAGCUCGUAGUUGGAUUUCGGGACGGGCCAGUUGGUCCGCCGCAAGGUGUGUUACUGACUGGUCUGUUCUUCUUCGCAAAGACUGCGUGUGCUCUUCGUUGAGUGUGCGUAGGAUUUACGACGUUUACUUUGAAAAAAUUAGAGUGUUCAAAGCAGGCUAUCGCUUGAAUACAUGAGCAUGGAAUAAUGGAAUAGGACUUUGGUCCUAUUUUGUUGGUUUCUAGGACCGAAGUAAUGAUUAAGAGGGACAAUUGGGGGCAUCCGUACUUCGUUGUCAGAGGUGAAAUUCUUGGAUUUACGAAAGACGAACAACUGCGAAAGCACUUGCCAAGAGUGUUUUCAUUAA